UUGCCUCAGUAACGGCGAGUGAAGCGGCAAUAGCUCAAAUUUGAAAUCUGGCAUCCGCCCGAAUUGUAAUUUGUAGAGGAUGCUUCGGCUUACGUCUCGGUCUAAGUUCCUUGGAACAGGACGUCACAGAGGGUGAGAAUCCCGUUUGUGGCCGUGACUUCCGCCAUGUGAAGCUCCUUCGACGAGUCGAGUUGUUUGGGAAUGCAGCUCUAAAUGGGAGGUAUGUUUCUUCUAAAGCUAAAUACCGGCCAGAGACCGAUAGCGCACAAGUAGAGUGAUCGAAAGAUGAAAAGCACUUUGGAAAGAGAGUUAAAAAGUACGUGAAAUUGUUGAAAGGGAAGCGCUUGCAACCAGACUUGCUCGUAGUUGCUCAACCGGUCCUCCGGCCGGUGCACUCUUCUACGGUCAGGCCAGCAUCAGUUCGGGUGGUUGGAGAAAGGCCUUGAGAAUGUGGCUCUCUUCGGGGAGUGUUAUAGCUCUUGGUGUCAUACAGCCUGCCUGGACUGAGGUCCGCGCUUCGGCUAGGAUGCUGGCGUAAUGGUUGUAAGCGGCCCGUCUUGAAACACGGACCAAGGAGUCUAACAUCUAUGCGAGUGUUUGGGUGUCAAACCCGUGCGCGUAAUGAAAGUGAACGGAGGUGGGAACUUUUUGUGCACCAUCGACCGAUCCUGAUGUCUUCGGAUGGAUUUGAGUAAGAGCAUAGCUGUUGGGACCCGAAAGAUGGUGAACUAUGCCUGAAUAGGGUGAAGCCAGAGGAAACUCUGGUGGAGGCUCGCAGCGGUUCUGACGUGCAAAUCGAUCGUCAAAUUUGGGUAUAGGGGCGAAAGACUAAUCGAACC
This 839-nucleotide ribosomal RNA is filed under the name Berkleasmium aquaticum. Its description in RNAcentral is "LSU rRNA". It matches the Rfam family "Eukaryotic large subunit ribosomal RNA", at positions 75 to 941 of the family's 3401-position model. The record is from RNAcentral. Lineage: Eukaryota; Fungi; Ascomycota; Dothideomycetes; Tubeufiales; Tubeufiaceae.